This 3067-nucleotide ribosomal RNA is filed under the name Triticum aestivum (bread wheat). RNAcentral describes it as "partial small subunit ribosomal RNA". Lineage: Eukaryota; Viridiplantae; Streptophyta; Magnoliopsida; Poales; Poaceae. The record is from RNAcentral.
CUUGUCGCCCCGAGAGGGACUGGAGAGGAGAGGAAGGAAGAGAGAGUGUAGGAAGGGGAUUAAAGAAACGAAAGAGCUAGGCGUCGUCGUCGCAGAGGUACCUACAGUCGUCGUCAUCGUCGCAGAGGUACCUACGUCGUCGCACUGCCGAGCGGCCCCACCUAGGGGAGGAGGCGGGGGUAGGAGGUGGAGAGGCCGGCGGGUCAACGUUGCGUCAUCGCCCGGUGGACUUCGUCCAGGAAGUAUGGAAGGUACCUGCUCGAGCUGCCUCUGCGACAGGUCGGGCUGGUGCCGGUGCUGAUGGAGUGUGUGUUUCAGGGAAGGACGAGGAGGUGGAAGAAGGUACCUAGUUCUACGAUGUAUGUGACGACGACGACAAACAGUUUACUUACUUGCUUGGAAGGAAUGAAUGAAUUAAACUGUUUAUUUGGUUGGAAGGAGAUCUAGUUCGUUUCUUAAUUACUUACUUAAACGUCGAAGCGACGAUUUUACUUACCGGUUGAAGAGACUCCAAAUAAAACCAGUUACUUAAAAAUAUGUUUACUUAGUCUGACAGUAAACCAAAAAAUAAUCAGUGCGGACGGCCUCACCGAUAAUGAAACGACGUCGUCUCAAACGUUGCCUACGAACGAAGGACUCCACUCACUGGUGGAUACGUAGCACUGCCGUCACCUACUACCGUAGUGGAUGUUUUGGGGUUACAACUCGAGAGAGGGAUGAGCGAGACUCGGUAUGGGCAGUUCUGUUCCAAUACAGUACGAUCCCAACAAGUGAACGGUACAUGAUGAUGUUCUUAACAACGACAGGAGACACAUAAAAGGGGAAUGACAUGUACAAUAAUACCAAAUAAUGCACGAGCUAACUACUAGACGGUAAGUACACUAGUGAUGAAGUCAAUCACAAGAUUCACGAAUUGAUUGACACGGAGUUUGCCGCCAACGAGAAGAAGCAGAACCUGGUCUUGGGGCCGCCGACCUAUUCUCGUAUCCUCGUUCGUCUCGUCUACCAAAUCGGCCGGAGGAGGAGAGAGAGGGAAGGGAACGAAAGUGAGCGAAAACCGUGGGAGUGGCGGUAACCAGCGUAUGGGUCUAUUAACUACUUUUUUGAUGCUAUUUCUUUAUAGCAGCGGCAGAGUAGUAGAAGCAGCUGUACUCGUAGAGACAGCCUGGUACGUGGGUACGGAAGGGUAGAUGGAACGACCUCACCGGCGGAGGACCAACUCCAUAACGCGACGUAGAUGGCAGGAGACGACUGUGGCGACGGCGACGGGCCCAGGGAGGAGAGCGAGGACAGCUCCAACUCUACUCGUGGCACUCCUACUCCUCCAGUCACCGACUAUAUCUCUCGAGGAGCUUACCCCUUCAUCGUCAGAACCUCCUUGAGUUUCUACAGUACAAAGUCAAAACUACCCUUAGCGAUGUUGUUGUUAAUCUUCUCUGGUGUAAAGUCCAAGUCUUGGUUAAAGAUCCCCAUACAUGUUCAACAAAAAUAAGAUAGAACCAAACUUUAACCAAAAUCUAACCACUUAAUCGUAUCGUAUUACUUACAACUCGAAGUAAAGUAGAUGUAAACCAAGACUUGUACACACGUAAAUUCUUUGAAACAUAAGAAGGGAUAAAAAUUCUCGGAUGUUUUUCUGAUGUUUUACCACUAUCCGUACAGGUCUUACAACUUUCGAAGUAAAACCAGGUAAUCUAUCAAAUAUCCAAACAGUGAUCUCCAACCGACAGUGUAUCCCAACGACGAACACUUUACUUACGAGGUAUCAAGAGGUACGUUGUUUCGAUUAAUGACUUAGACGUUACGUACGAAUAAAAACCGUCUUCGAAUCACCUAGUUAAUCGUAACACAUUUCAGACAGAUUCGAGGGUAGAGAGAAGAAAGAUAUUUGACCUACCGGUCCUAUCUAAAGAAUUAUGGUAAAACCCUAACAAACUCGUGAACUGUCGCAAUUGUCCAAAUGGUAAAGAGUAAAGAAUUAUCGUAAAACCCUAGCAAACUCGUGAUAUGGUUACAAAACGAAAGACGAUUUGAGUUUCUAUAACAUAUGAACUUACAAAAAGUUAACGGUUAUGUACGGUUUAAGACGUAUAAGGAAUUCCACUGUGACUAAAACCAAAAUGAACUGUAGACGUAGGAAAAUAUAGUAUCAGCUCUUUAACUAAUUUUAUAACAUAACCAAGGUUUUAUUAUAAAAGAAACUUUGUCCCACUAUUAAAGUCAUAGUGAGUUGUACAUAGUAAUAGACAUCUUUUAUAUUUCCAUGUACGUGAGUAGACACAAUAGAUGUACUGGAUUAACAUUAUCUAUUGGUCGCUAAAUUCUAAACUCGGUAACACCGAUGAAAAUAAUAAAAGUUUACCCAAUGUACGCCUAACAGCAAAAUAAAUACUCGUCGAAGCAGAACGAUAGUGGUGUUACCCUUAACUAGUGACACCGUUAUACGAGAAGAUACAACAGACUAACUGAGAAAAAUAAUCGUACCUCUUAUGGAAAACCAAUUGAUUCUAAUCAAAGACAAGUGUAAUAAGAAUAUAUUUUUUAUAAUAACACGAUUUCAACGUACUGUAAAACCGUUUUGUGACAAAUCAUUUUUUAAUACAUCUCCACUUAAAAUCUCCACUUUACCACACCUACAAAACUGACCCUAUACGAACCUAAUUGAAAUCGCACUGUGGAAUAAGUUAUAGACACAAAACCCAAGAUGAUUAACAGUCGCGGAAAAGAAAGGAGGGUUACGGUACACUAUAAAUGACCUGAUAUUUAGUACACGAACGUUCAGCAACAACACGGCAGAGAGAGAGAGAGAUUGGUGAGGGGGAGACUAUGCAGAGGCUGCAUAGAUAUUAGAAACUAACAAGGUACGAUAAUAUAAUGGGCAAAACCUACAAAUACCCGAAAUGAUAUGUGAAAAUAUAGUAAAAACCCUGAUUGGAUGAUUGGCCUCCGGGUCGGGCUUAACAACAAAAAAACGGAUAAAGUCACAAACCUUUUUUUCCUUAUAGUUUGCCUCAGGUUUGCCUUACUUUGGAAGCCUUCGCUAGAAAAACCUUGUUUGCGUUAAGUC